This 433-nucleotide ribosomal RNA is filed under the name uncultured bacterium. Its description in RNAcentral is "partial 16S ribosomal RNA". It matches the Rfam family "Bacterial small subunit ribosomal RNA", at positions 29 to 507 of the family's 1533-position model. The record is from RNAcentral.
AACGAACGCUGGCGGCAUGCCUAACACAUGCAAGUCGAACGAGACCUUCGGGUCUAGUGGCGCACGGGUGCGUAACGCGUGGGAACCUGCCCUUAGGUUCGGAAUAACUCCCCGAAAGGGGUGCUAAUACCGGAUAAUGUCUUCGGACCAAAGACUUAUCGCCUUUGGAUGGGCCCGCGUUGGCUUAGCUAGUUGGUAGGGUAAAAGCCUACCAAGGCGACGAUCCAUAGCUGGUCUGAGAGGAUGCUCAGCCACACUGGGACUGAGACACGGCCCCGACUCCUACGGGACGCAGCAGUGUAGAGUAUUGGGCACUGGGCGCAAGCCUGGUCCAGCAGUGCCGCGUGAGUGGUGAAGGCCUUAGUGUUGUAAAGCUCUUUUACCCGAGAUGUUAAUGACAGUACCGGGAGAAUAAGCUCCGGCUAACUCCGUG